Non-coding RNA from Equus caballus (horse), 2026 nucleotides. The record is from RefSeq and is a predicted model, not a curated record. NCBI's taxonomy places the organism in Eukaryota, Metazoa, Chordata, Mammalia, Perissodactyla, Equidae.
CUCCCAGAACCAUGGAGUGGGACCAGGAUGACCCUGGUAAACCAGCCACAGAAUUUUCAGUUCUCACAACAGAAGCCAGGUGGCAUCUGUAUAACCUGGACUUUGCAGGGCCUGGUGAUGAUCAAGUCUCAGCAUUUCCAAUUAAUCUUGGAAUGAGAGCCCAAGGCAAAAAGCCACUGGUGCCUGAGGAAUGCUAAAGAGCAAGCUGAUCCAGGGAAACAAAUGCCAGCAAGGGACCCCACAGCAAAGAGACAGACACUGUGAGCAACUCUCCUGUUACCAUGAGGCUUGCGAGGCGUGUGCGCGGGUCUCCGCACUGGCACCAUCUGCCAAUUCCUCAGGAGGACAGAACAAACCAGCGAGGCAUGAAGAUUAGAUUAUGUAACGCUCGAGGAUUGCUGUUUGCAAAGAGGAAACAAAUGGAACGAAUUGAUUUGCUUGUCAGAGUCAUGUCACUAAAGGAGACCCGUUCCCUCCUCUUCCAAGAGGACCUCGUUAAAGAGGGGAAUGAUUUCACAGACUCAGAAAAUGUGAGACCACAAUCGACUCCAUUCAUAAGAGCAAGUCUAAUUUCCAGAGAUGCACUGAUAAAUCCUAGUCUGGUCCCCUUGCCUGAAAAAUGACUGUUCAGCUCCUACCUAAAAGGUACCAACAUGGCAAGAAACAUUAACUGCCAGUUGUCAGCCACAGGAUUCAGAACCUGGGUCUUUGCCUGAACUGAACUCUCUUGCUUCUCGGGAAGCAGCAUCUAAUUUUGAGACCUGUGGGGUCAUGUUUACUAUUCAGAGCUCUAAACAAGUGUUUUGAUAGAGUGAGGAUGUAUUCUUAAAAAUACACGCCUCAGGAAGGAGAGCUCAUUGCAUUUCUGAGAUUCUUUUGCCAUUGCUGAGCUUCUCUCAAAAUGCCCAGCACAAUACUUUUUAUAAUAUGUUCAGUUGGUCUGAAGAAUGAACAAAUGAUAACCGCGAACCUACUGCCAUAGAGCCAUUCCUAAAGGUUUCACUGUCUAAGAUACUAAGAUUUAUAUAAGUCUUUAUUCAACAUGGAAAUGAAGCCUACUGUACCAGAUAUUUUCCAUUUGCCCCUGCUGAUCCGCUUUUCCAUCCAUCCUGCUCUUUGCCCUGGGGUGCUGACCCAUAUGGACUACAUCAUCGACUCACUCCUUUGCCCUCUAGUUUCCAUCUGGGUACAGCCAAUGGGAAGCAGCAGCCGAAGAUUGGAGGGCAGAGGGAGAGUGAGGCUGAAGUACUUAUUCCCCCAGUUCCCUCCCUGCCCCACAACGCCUGAGGUUGGUUUUGUCUUUUGAUAAAAGGUCACUGCUCCUUCUCAAGGCAGCUCUCUCCACACAACUCUCUUUCUGGGUUCUGUAUCUUCUCCCUCCCUUCACUUUCAGAUCUAGGAAUGGUAAAGAUCCCAGCUAUUACUAGCCCCCUGGGUACCACACUAUCCCUCUGGUUUCCCUACACCCUACCCAAACCUUCGUAAAUAGUCCCUUUAUUAAACGCUCCUCUAAUUAUCUAAUUUGAGUGUGCCAUCUGUUUUUUAUACAGACCCUGACGGAUACACCUACCACGUGUCAGUCUGUUCCAGGCCAUGCACCACAGUUUAAAAAAAAAGGGUAGCAAAAGUAAUAUUACAAUACACUACUACUUUAUAGUUAUUCUCAAUGUUCACCUUUUCACAAGGCUAUAAUAACAACUUAAAGAUAAAACCUAAUUCCUCUUUACAACAUAAUUGUGCAGUAGAGUUUGUAUGAGCUAAAUAUAAUUCAGAGAACAAGCUUUUUCAUGCCAUCAAAAUUCAUGCUAACAGCUACAAAGAAAGAACUGCAGAACUGAUGCCCCUGACUUGAGAUUUAGCAGAAAACAAAUUCCAGUAUUUAAAUCAAUCACACAAAUAUUCAAAAGCCUACCAUGUGGCCAGUGAGGAACAACACAGACGUGGACUCUGACUUUGUGAAACUUCGUCUUAUUUUAUGCAAUAUAUGUGCUCCUAACAAGCUGAAUACAAGCUGUAUUUCCAUAAA